UAGGAAGAUUCUAUGGGGCUCUCGGC
Molecule: non-coding RNA, 26 nt
Filed under: Rattus norvegicus (Norway rat)
Lineage: Eukaryota; Metazoa; Chordata; Mammalia; Rodentia; Muridae
Source: RNAcentral